AUUGAACGCUUGCGGCAGGCUUAACACAUGCAAGUCGAGCGAGCGGCGGACGGGUGAGUAAUGUCUGGGAAACUGCCUGAUGGAGGGGGAUAACUACUGGAAACGGUAGCUAAUACCGCAUACCAUCAGAUGUGCCCAGAUGGGAUUAGCUAGUAGGUGGGGUAAUGGCUCACCUAGGCGAUGAUCCCUAGCUGGUCUGAGAGGAUGACCAUCCACCCUGGAACUGAGUCCCGGUCCAGAGUCCUACGGGAGGAAGAAGUGGGGUAUAUUGCAUAAUGGGAGCAAGCCUGAUGCAGCCAUGCCUGGUGUGUGAAGAAGGCCUUCGGGUUGUAAUGAACUUUCAGCGAGGAGGCGUUACUCGCAGAAGAAGCACCGGCUAACUCCGUGCCAGCAGCCGCGGUAAUAC
Molecule: ribosomal RNA, 406 nt
Filed under: uncultured bacterium
Lineage: Bacteria
Description: partial 16S ribosomal RNA
Rfam family: Bacterial small subunit ribosomal RNA
Source: RNAcentral